This 681-nucleotide long non-coding RNA is filed under the name Rattus norvegicus (Norway rat). RNAcentral describes it as "long non-coding RNA NONRATT007800". Lineage: Eukaryota; Metazoa; Chordata; Mammalia; Rodentia; Muridae. The record is from RNAcentral.
GGCAAGCUGGCUGUGUUCACAGUGCUGUGCGAGCAGUACCAGCCGUCCCUGCGGAGGGACCCCAUGUACAACGAGUACCUCGACAGGAUCGGACAACUCUUCUUCGGUGUGCCGCCAAAGCAGACAUCCUCCUAUGGAGGCUUGCUAGGUAAGCCAUGCGGUCUGGUCCCCAACAGGCCUUUCUGCCGUGUUCCCAGGUUGCCUGAGUGGACCUGCUGUUGAAGUCUGUGUGUGACUGCAGAUUAGGCUGUUCACUGGGUACCACUCUGUGCUCUGAACUCCAAAUACAAGCCCCUUCCACCAAGGCAGGGCCACUCUGGUGUAGUCCUCUGCACUUGAAAUGCCUAGUUUUCCUUUUUCCUCUGGUGCUGGACACUCAGGUCCUUGGCCCCCAUUUUCUUUACUACUGUCCUGCAUCCUCUCCCCAGCCCUUCCAAUUCAGAGUCCUGAAUGCUGUCUCUACUGCUAGCAGGGGUAACUACAGGCAGAGUAUGGCAUGAACCCUUGCGCCAUUACCUUCUAGAGUGUGGAGCUUCCAUGCAUGUGGUAUGAAGACAAACACCGUGUUGUGGAAGGAAGUACAGCUGAGUGCGGCCAUGAACAAGUCCACCUAGGCCCUCUGGGCGCUGGCUGUGCCUAGUAACGUGGUAUAGACUGUGACAGUGUUUCUCUAGUUUGUUG